UGGUGGAGUGAUUUGUCUGGUUAAUUCCGUUAACGAACGAGACCUCGACCUGCUAAAUAGUCUGGCAAAUUCUUCGGGAUUUGUACAGACUUCUUAGAGGGACUAUCGGUGUGUAACCGAUGGAAGUUCGAGGCAAUAACA
Molecule: ribosomal RNA, 141 nt
Filed under: uncultured eukaryote
Lineage: Eukaryota
Description: partial 18S ribosomal RNA
Rfam family: Eukaryotic small subunit ribosomal RNA
Source: RNAcentral